Molecule: long non-coding RNA, 946 nt
Organism: Acipenser ruthenus (sterlet)
Lineage: Eukaryota; Metazoa; Chordata; Actinopteri; Acipenseriformes; Acipenseridae
Exons: 5
Source: RefSeq, a predicted model, not a curated record
AUAUAUAUAUAUAUAUAUAUGGCACGGGGUAGGAUAAUUGAUGGACGUUAUGUUGCUUCACCUUUCUUGUCAUUUGUAUCCAGCUUUAACGAGCUCAACAAGAGAACAAGAGACAGGUGCCCCGAAUCAGCGCACCGGUAUAAAAUAUGCUCUGACCAGCAAUCUGCGUCUGUGUGUAGUAGUGGAGAAGGGCGGGCGUAGAGCGAGGGAGAGAAAAAGAAAAGAUAAACAAAACAAACAAAGGAUUAUUUGGCAAUGACUUUGGAACGGAAUUGGACCCUGAUUAGUGGACUGGAUUAUUGGACUGAAUGAGAACCCGAACCCGCUAGCGGGUGUGGUGAGAAUCUUUACAUGUCCUCCAGUGCAAAUUCCUGGGAUAUGGCAGUCCAGGCCUGGUAUGAUGAAGUCAAAGAUUUUAAGUAUGGAGUUGGAUCAACAAAUGGUGCUGUUGUUGGGCAUUACACCCAGGUUGUGUGGUACAGGUCUAACAAGGUUGGCUGUGCAGUUGCUCAUUGCCCUGGUUCUAAAUAGGAGUAUUUUUGUGUAUGCCAGUACUGCCCUCCAGGAAACAACCAGAAUUUAUUACCCACACCCUACAAAGCUGGUCCAUCAUACGGUGACUGCCCAGGUGCUUGUGAAGAUAAGCUCUGCACAAACCCAUGUUCCUACUCAGACAUGUAUUCCAACUGUCCCGAUCUUAAAGGGACUUUUGGAUGUGGCCACCCAUCGGUUUUGGCUUGGUGUCCUGCUUCAUGCAAGUGUACAAAUGAAAUCAAAUGAACUGCUCCCUGGAACUUUACAUGCAUGUAACAUCAAUACAAUUUAUUGAUUAAACUGUACUGAUACUUUUAACCUAAUGAUCUAGCAAACACUAUAGAUAUAUGCUGUAAGUGUACAUUUCAAUUAAAAUCAUGCAACUAAAAACAAGUGUCAAGUCUUAUUUUUU